RNAcentral lists this microRNA precursor (124 nucleotides) under Hordeum vulgare. RNAcentral's name for it is "microRNA MIR1122". It matches the Rfam family "MIR1120/MIR1122 microRNA precursor family". Lineage: Eukaryota; Viridiplantae; Streptophyta; Magnoliopsida; Poales; Poaceae. The record is from RNAcentral.
UAAGUACUCCCUCCGUCCGGAAAUACUUGUCCUACAGAUGAAUGUAUCUAGACUUAUUUUAGUUAUAGAUACAUUCAUUAUAUUUAUUUUUAGGACAAGUAUUUUCGGACGGAGGGAGUAUAUA